AUUGAACGCUGGCGGCAUGCUUUACACAUGCAAGUCGAACGGUAACAGGUUAAGCUGACGAGUGGCGAACGGGUGAGUAAUGCAUCGGAACGUGCCCGAUCGUGGGGGAUAACGCAGCGAAAGCUGCGCUAAUACCGCAUACGAUCUGAGGAUGAAAGCGGGGGACCGUAGGGCCUCGCGCGAUCGGAGCGGCCGAUGUCAGAUUAGGUAGUUGGUGGGGUAAAGGCUCACCAAGCCAACGAUCUGUAGCUGGUCUGAGAGGACGACCAGCCACACUGGGACUGAGACACGGCCCAGACUCCUACGGGAGGCAGCAGUGGGGAAUUUUGGACAAUGGGCGAAAGCCUGAUCCAGCAAUGCCGCGUGCAGGAAGAAGGCCUUCGGGUUGUAAACUGCUUUUGUACGGAGCGAAAAGGCUCUCUCUAAUACAGGGGGCUCAUGACGGUACCGUAAGGAUAAGCACCGGCUAACUACGUGCCAGCCGCCGCGGUAA
This 493-nucleotide ribosomal RNA is filed under the name uncultured bacterium. Its description in RNAcentral is "partial 16S ribosomal RNA". It matches the Rfam family "Bacterial small subunit ribosomal RNA", at positions 29 to 523 of the family's 1533-position model. The record is from RNAcentral.